GGGGCCGUAGCUCAGGUGGUAGAGCACCUCAUGGUUAAUGAGGUGGCCGGAUGUUCGAGUCAUCCCGGCCCCG
This 73-nucleotide transfer RNA is filed under the name Rhizobium leguminosarum. RNAcentral's name for it is "tRNA-Asn". It matches the Rfam family "tRNA". Rfam says of the family: Transfer RNA (tRNA) molecules are approximately 80 nucleotides in length. Their secondary structure includes four short double-helical elements and three loops (D, anti-codon, and T loops). Further hydrogen bonds mediate the characteristic L-shaped molecular structure. tRNAs have two regions of fundamental functional importance: the anti-codon, which is responsible for specific mRNA codon recognition, and the 3' end, to which the tRNAs corresponding amino acid is attached (by aminoacyl-tRNA synthetases). tRNAs cope with the degeneracy of the genetic code in two manners: having more than one tRNA (with a specific anti-codon) for a particular amino acid; and 'wobble' base-pairing, i.e. permitting non-standard base-pairing at the 3rd anti-codon position. RNAcentral also lists the same sequence under 1 other name. The record is from RNAcentral. Lineage: Bacteria; Pseudomonadati; Pseudomonadota; Alphaproteobacteria; Hyphomicrobiales; Rhizobiaceae.